This is a long non-coding RNA of Talpa occidentalis (Iberian mole), 1329 nucleotides long. RefSeq lists it as uncharacterized. NCBI's taxonomy places the organism in Eukaryota, Metazoa, Chordata, Mammalia, Eulipotyphla, Talpidae. The transcript is spliced from 3 exons. The record is from RefSeq and is a predicted model, not a curated record.
UUCCCGAGGGCAGCAGCCGCGGCCCGGAGAUAAGCGCUAGCGCGGCGCGGGCUCUGCCUGGGCUAGUGGCACCGACUUGGUGUUCUGCUUGGGGACAAGCUGAACCCACAAUACCCAGCACUCCAGUCUUCUGUGGCCUGCUGACUGGAACAUGGGAAGACAAGACCCAGGCCCUGUUUCCAGAAGAAAACCCAGUAAUGACUGGCCUAGUCAGUGGACUCUCUCACUGUCUGCCAUUGAAUGGAUUUGCUAACACCCACGCAAUACACCACAGCCGCUGGAUAAACCCAAAAGGCCCAUAAUUACCUGACAAAGGGAGAAGAAAACGCCGAGACGAGACAGAAAACCGGUCCUCUUCCCAUAGAAACAACAGCAGAUCAGCCUGGCCAAAAGAACCGAGAAGACCCGCUGCCUGCGAAGGCCUACACACCUAAGAUGCAGCAACUUCCCUCAAGCCAAAGAAAGGCAAAAGGGUAGAAGGCACUGCAAGGCGGCGAGACAAGUUUCCUCAACGCGGAGGUGGGACUGGUGACAAUUUCCGAACUCACAAUCUCCAAGGCUCUGCAAAUAGUCCUCAAGGAAAGCGGCCCACGCAGCUGUCGCUGUGCCCGUGGCCUCUACUUGCGUUUGUCCUGCUGUCCAGACAAAUCUGAGGUUGUGCGUUCCGUGCAGUGGCUUGUUUGGGGGUUUGCCGCUAGAAACAAACACACCCCUCUGAGCCACCCCCACGGGAGCACACACGUCUUUAGUCUCUGCAGACGCCCCUCCUGCACAACGCCGCUUUUGGGGCAGACUCUUUGUCCACUUGAAGCCCGGCAUCCUCCGGGCUUGCAGCUGAAGGGAACCCAGCUCCAAAAACUCCUCCGAAGUUAAAUAUUGACCAGAACCUCUUUCAACCGGCUGCGGCUGCCAGGGAGCGCAUACUCCUCGCAGAGGCCGGCUGCUAAGCCCUGCACAGCGAAGAGCUUUGGCUGAGCGCUUACCUCGAAAGAUGAUUAAGACCGAACCGGGGAUAGUCUCCAACUCCGGGCGCUCAGGAAAUCGCCUUUUCCGGUGUCCGGGCGCUCUGCGGACAAAAAAAAAAAAAAAAAAAAAAAGCAGAGCAGAGAGUGAACGUACAGUGGCUGCUAAGGAAGGAGCUGGAGGACCGGAGUUGGAAGCGCCGCCGGCGCGGGCGCCAGGGUGGCCCCCAGGGUGACGCGGACACGGAGGAGUCGCCAGAGCACUCGUCCAUGCGUCGCGCUCAUUGCUCAAAAGGUUCCAGUCUACAAAUGGCCUGAAGAUGGUGAUUUAUUUUUGUAAAAUAAAUACAUACUCCAUCUCCGCACC